Dermochelys coriacea (leatherback sea turtle) is the source of this 2524-nucleotide long non-coding RNA. RefSeq lists it as uncharacterized. The transcript is spliced from 2 exons. Lineage: Eukaryota; Metazoa; Chordata; Testudines; Dermochelyidae. The record is from RefSeq and is a predicted model, not a curated record.
AGCAGCCUUCCAUCAAACAGAUCCAUCCGACCAAUCGGCAAGGGGCACCGCCGGCUGCCUUCCGUCCAUUGGCGGAGGCCGCCCGGGCUGCCACUCCAGCGCCGGGCUUGUCAGUCAAAGCCACGCGGGGGCCGAGCGCUGACAAACGCCGCCGCUUCUCAGCGUCCCGCUUGCAAAUACUGCUUGGAAUGGCUGCUUAAUUAGCUUGGAAUGGCUUCUCCUUCCAGCUCAAACAAUCUGUCACUACCGUGCGGGGAAAAGGAGCCAUGCACAGAAAAAGUGUAACCUCAGAUCCCAAAAGAAGGCAAACAAACAGACAGCUGAUACCUUCUGACAUCAUAGCCUUGAAAACCAAAUACAGCAUAGACUGAACUACGUAGAACUGCUGAUUUGCAAUGAAAAUAUUGAGGUCAUCUGUGGACUCAAAUGACUUAUGGUCCCUGGAAAAUUCCCCAUUUAGUUCAUGACAGGAGUUGACUGGAGCCUUAGGUUCUCCUUAUCCUCUGUGUGUAUGAGUCAAUCUGUAUUACAAGGGCUAACAGCCUUGAAAGACUAAGAAAGCAUCAUCAUGGAUCAGCAGUCUCAAGGUCAAUUGCAUCUCUGCCCUAACGCACUGAACAAGAUUCUUGCCUAAGAUAUCUGACUGCACAGCUCAUCAGAGCCGGGGAACACAGCCUGCUUGCCUGAGAACAGCGACGGGUGAAUCAGAGUUCUAACCGGGACUCCUCCAAUGACUCACUCCGGCCAUGGGCAACUUCUUGGUCUCAGUUUCCCCAUCUAUACACCCAGGCCAAUAGUUACGCCCCCACCUCCUAGGGGUGUUGUGAGAAUUAAUGUUUGCAAAGUGCUAUGGGAGUGUGAGGCACUAUUAUUAGUGCUAUGAAGGCCCAAGUUAAACAGAGUCUGCAAUUCCUCCUUUAAUAAGUGUCUUAUGCAUAAGUUUCCUAGCUCUGACAGUAUUUCAUUGGUGAUAAUUCCAGAAUCAUCAAACCAGAAAGUUUAAGGCCAGAAGGAGCCACCCGUCUACCUACUCUGACCUCUUCACAUCGCAGGCCACCACCACCACAACACAGUCCAACUAAUAAAGAAUGGUUAGUGCCUGGAGAGGAGCUCCACUCUACCACCUAAGCCUUCUCACCAGGACUGUUUGUAGGUGGGUGUGAAUAUGGAAUGUCAUUGCAUUGGCACAUCAACCAUUCACUGACUAAAGGAAGAAAGUGUCAGGGCCAACUUAGGACAGGAUGUGGGCCAUACAGAGCAGGAAAGGAAGACCUUUUUCCUGCCAAAGGAAACUUUGGACUCGGUCUGCUCACGUUUCUGGGUAAAAGCAUCUCACCUAGGAAACCAGCCAGGAGGCAAUCACAGCCAGCUCUGAGCCAAAGCACCACUCUGACCUGUCUGCUCUGAACACUCAUGCAUGUGGAGAACAUGUGGCCUUUGCAACUUGGCACCAAGUGGGGUGUCCCUUUCACGAUGGAUCUGUCGGAACCUCAGGCCUUGCCUUUUCCUGAACUUUCCCCUGCUAUUGCUAACACCAGCAUUGCUCCAAUGGCAGAGGCAGGAGUGCUAGUUAAGAUGUCAGAGGCCACUGGCAUUUACACUGUGUUAAGAAGACCUGCUCAGAGAAGGUGUAAACACCACUGUCUGCAGGAGCUUUGUCUACACUAGAGCUACUUCUGCUGCAAUCAACAGUAGAGCUGAACCAAGGUUAACAAAAGAUACAUAUACAGCCUCAAACAGCAGCACAUGCCAACACAGUGCCAGCCCUGUAAGGUCUAAGAGAUGGAUUUUUGAUGCAAAGGGAUCUGGGAAGCCAGCUGUGGCCAAUGGUGGUGGGAUGGAAUGGUCGUGUUUCCCGAGUUCUUUGUCAUGCACUGUCUUCUCAGGGGGCAUCUUUAAUGUGGCCAUUGACAUUGUCUCGGACAAGCAGGUCUGAGUCAGCACGAGAAAUGAACAGUGCUACACUUUUCUAUUUGCAAAAUACAUACUAUGAACACGGAGAAUUUCCAUGAUUAUACAUUUGCUCUUUUGAAUUACAAGCUAGAAGGCAAAGCAGGGUGUUGAAACAGAGCCAAGACUAAUACAGAACACCGAGACUAAUACGUGACAUCUACAAAGACCCCAACAUUUCUCGCUAAGACAUUCCAGAAGAACCACUUUCCCCCUCAGUCUUUUUGGAUACAUUUUUAAUCACCUGGUUUCCCCUUUAUCGAUGCCGUGGGGGAAAAAAAUGCACCUGCAUUAUUGGACAUACAAUUAGGGUGAUGAGAGGUCCCGAUUUUAUAGAGACAGUCCCGAUUUUGGGGUCUUUUUCUUAUUUAGGCUCAUAUUACCUCCCACCCCCGUCCCGAUUUUUCACAUUUGCUGUCUGGUCACCCUACAUACAAUUGAACUGCAGUCACUGAUCUUAAAUAUCUAACAUUUAAUUUCCACCCUUAGUCAGGUAGUUAGAUGGGUAACUACUAAGAUUUGCACUUGCAAUUCAUUUUAAGAUGGAAAUAAAUGAAGGCUUUUUUUUUUUUUU